GAUGAACGCUGGCGGCGUGCCUAAUACAUGCAAGUCGAGCGAACGGACGAGGAGCUUGCUUCUCUGAUGUUAGCGGCGGACGGGUGAGUAACACGUGGAUAACCUACCUAUAAGACUGGGAUAACUUCGGGAAACCGGAGCUAAUACCGGAUAAUAUUUUGAACCGCAUGGUUCGAUAGUGAAAGACGGCCUUGCUGUCACUUAUAGAUGGAUCCGCGCUGCAUUAGCUAGUUGGUAAGGUAACGGCUUACCAAGGCAACGAUGCAUAGCCGACCUGAGAGGGUGAUCGGCCACACUGGAACUGAGACACGGUCCAGACUCCUACGGGAGGCAGCAGUAGGGAAUCUUCCGCAAUGGGCGAAAGCCUGACGGAGCAACGCCGCGUGAGUGAUGAAGGUCUUCGGAUCGUAAAACUCUGUUAUUAGGGAAGAACAUAUGUGUAAGUAACUGUGCACAUCUUGACGGUACCUAAUCAGAAAGCCACGGCUAACUACGUG
RNAcentral lists this ribosomal RNA (497 nucleotides) under uncultured bacterium. RNAcentral describes it as "partial 16S ribosomal RNA". It matches the Rfam family "Bacterial small subunit ribosomal RNA", at positions 28 to 507 of the family's 1533-position model. The record is from RNAcentral.